GUUUCGGUUGUAAAUUGCUUAUGCUACAUAUGUAACAUUGCGGAUUCAAAUGAAAUUGAAACUUCCUAAUUGAUGGUCAAAAAGAAUAAUGGUAAGUUAUACUUCAAGGAUGAUUGACAUGGCAUGACUUGAGUGAGUACUAUAAGAUGACUCAUAAAGUUACCAACAACUAAUUGACUGCAUCUGAUGAUUGAUGUAACUUCUAGAAUUCUGCUGGAAAUGUGUAUUGAAGUUUCUCCAUGAUUCAAAGAUGACUUGCACAAUUUUUGGAGAGUGGACUAAUUUUUGCAAACAACGAAGGUUCUUUGAAGGAUUGUCUAUCAAGUUUGGAAGCAUCUAAUAACAAUGUCAUACAUGCAUGUGAGGACUGCCCCACAAUUUGGUCUGUGAACUAGAUUAGUCACACCUAUAGGAAAUGGAGUAUUCAAACCUCUUUUUUAGACAGAACAAUAUUUUAAGAGAGGCCAUUGUGUAGUGGGUGUUGUUGGUUGGCAUGUUUGGGUUUAGGUGCUGCUGCAGUUUCAGCGGCUGUGGUGGCUUCCUUUUGCUUUCCUUUUGGUGGUAAGAUCUCCCUAUCGGUUCUGCUAUGCCUCCAUGUCCUUUCUGUUAUAGUGCUGGCUGUGAUGCAGGAGUAUUCGUGGGUUUGCUAAUUGUUUUGAUGACUAUAUAGUUGUUGUCAUGUUUGGCCUUUUGUUCUCAUUUAUACCUCAACAUCAUGUUAUUUUGUCUUUGGCUGGGUUGCUGUUUUGCUUGGAUUUUUUGGCAGCUUUUUCUUUGGGGUGUUGGAAGGUUUGUUUGCUUUUGUCCGGUGAUCCGCUAUAUACGGCACCUUAUUUGUAUUUUGCCUUAUUGGCUUUAUCCGCAGUUGUUUUUUGUGUCUUGCCUUUUAGGGAGACCGAAAUUGCAACUAUCUUUUUUUUUUUGUUU
This is a long non-coding RNA of Medicago truncatula (barrel medic), 927 nucleotides long. RefSeq lists it as uncharacterized. The record is from RefSeq and is a predicted model, not a curated record. The transcript has 2 exons. NCBI's taxonomy places the organism in Eukaryota, Viridiplantae, Streptophyta, Magnoliopsida, Fabales, Fabaceae.